GUUGAUCCUGCCGGAGGCCAUUGCUAUCGGAGUCCGAUUUAGCCAUGCUAGUCGAGCGAGGUUAGCCCUCGCGGCGAACAGCUCAGUAACACGUGGCCAAGCUACCCUGCAGAGGGGGACAGCGUCGGGAAACUGACGGGAAUCCCCCAUACCGGUCUCACGCUGGAAUGCCGAGACCGACAAACGCUCCGGCGCUGCAGGAUGCGGCUGCGGCCGAUUAGGUAGUCGGUGGGGUAACGGCCCACCGAGCCGAUAAUUGGUACGGGGUGUGAGAGCACGAGCCCGGAGACGGAAUCUGAGACAAAAUUCCGGGCCCUACGGGGCGCAGCAGGCGCGAAACCUUUACACUGCACGAAGGUGCGAUAAGGGGACUCCGAGUGCGAGGGCAUACAGUCCUCGCUAUUGUGUACCGUAUGGUGGUACACGACCAGUAGCUGGGCAAGACCGGUGCCAGCCGCCGCGGUAAUACCGGUGAGCUCGAGUGAUGGCCGAUUUUAUUGGGCCUAUAGCUGUCCGUAGCUGGCCCUGCAAGUCCGUCGGGAAAUCCACUCGCCUAACGAGUGGGCGUCCGGCGGAAACUACAGGGCUUGAGACCGGAAGACUGCAGAGGUACGUCUGGGGUAGGAGUGAAAUCCUGUAAUCCUGGACGGACCGCCGAUGGCGAAAGCACCUCAAGACGACGGAUCCGACAGUGAGGGACGAAAGCUAGGGUCUCGAACCGGAUUAGAUACCCGGGUAGUCCUAGCCGUAAACGAUGUUCGCUAGAUGUGGCACAGGCUACGUGCCUGUGCUGUGUCGUAGGGAAGCCGAGAAGCGAACCGCCUGGGAAGUACGUCCGCAAGGAUGAAACUUAAAGGAAUUGGCGGGGGAGCACUACAACCGGAGGAGCCUGCGGUUUAAUUGGACUCAACGCCGGACAUCUCACCAGCUCCGACUACAGUGAUGACGAUCAGGUUGACGACCUCGUCAUGAUGCUGUAGAGAGGAGGUGCAUGGCCGCCGUCAGCUCGUACCGUGAGGCGUCCUGUUAAGUCAGGCAACGAGCGAGACCCGCGCACCUACUUGCCAGCAGCAGUUUCGACUGGCUGGGUACAGUAUGUGGACUGCCAGGGGCAACCUGGAGGAAGGAACGGGCAACGGUAGGUCAGUAUGCCCCGAAUGAGCUGGGCGACACGCGGGCUACAAUGGUCGAGACAAUGGGUUGCCACCUCGAGAGAGGGCGCUAAUCUCCGAAACUCGAUCGUAGUUCGGAUUGAGGGCUGAAACUCGCCCUCAUGAAGCUGGAUUCGGUAGUAGUCGCCUUUCAGUAAAAGGCGGCGAAUACGUCCCUGCUCAUUGUACACACCGCCCGUCA
Molecule: ribosomal RNA, 1353 nt
Filed under: uncultured archaeon
Lineage: Archaea
Description: 16S ribosomal RNA
Rfam family: Archaeal small subunit ribosomal RNA
Source: RNAcentral